UACGUAGGGACCAAGCGUUGUUCGGAUUUACUGGGCGUAAAGGGCGCGUAGGCGGCAUGACAAGUUACUUGUGAAAUCUCCGGGCUUAACUCGGAACGGCCAAGUGAAACUGUCAAGCUAGAGUGCAGAAGGGGCAAUCGGAAUUCUUGGUGUAGCGGUGAAAUGCGUAGAUAUCAAGAGGAACACCUGAGGUGAAGACGGGUUGCUGGGCUGACACUGACGCUGAGGCGCGAAAGCCAGGGGAGCAAACGGG
This 253-nucleotide ribosomal RNA is filed under the name uncultured bacterium. RNAcentral's name for it is "partial 16S ribosomal RNA". It matches the Rfam family "Bacterial small subunit ribosomal RNA", at positions 524 to 776 of the family's 1533-position model. The record is from RNAcentral.